RNAcentral lists this ribosomal RNA (253 nucleotides) under uncultured bacterium. Its description in RNAcentral is "partial 16S ribosomal RNA". It matches the Rfam family "Bacterial small subunit ribosomal RNA", at positions 524 to 776 of the family's 1533-position model. The record is from RNAcentral.
UACGAAGGGGGCUAGCGUUGCUCGGAAUCACUGGGCUUAAAGGGCGCGUAGGCGGCUUGCCAAGUCAGGGGUGAAAUCUUUCGGCUCAACCGGAAAAGUGCUUCUGAUACGGGCGGGCUGGAGGGGGGUAGGGGCAGAUGGAACUUCCGGUGGAGCGGUGAAAUGCGUAGAUAUCGGAAGGAACGCCGGUGGCGAAAGCGAUCUGCUGGACCCCUUCUGACGCUGAGGCGCGAAAGCCAGGGGAGCGAACGGG